UACGGGGGGGGCGAGCGUUGUUCGGAAUUACUGGGCGUAAAGGGUGCGUAGGCGGCUUUCUAAGUCAGACGUGAAAUCCCUCGGCUCAACCGGGGAACUGCGUCUGAGACUGGAAGGCUUGAAUCCGGGAGAGGGAUGUGGAAUUCCAGGUGUAGCGGUGAAAUGCGUAGAUAUCUGGAGGAACACCGGUGGCGAAGGCGGCAUCCUGGACCGGUAUUGACGCUGAGGCGCGAAAGCCAGGGGAGCAAACGGG
This 253-nucleotide ribosomal RNA is filed under the name uncultured bacterium. Its description in RNAcentral is "partial 16S ribosomal RNA". It matches the Rfam family "Bacterial small subunit ribosomal RNA", at positions 524 to 776 of the family's 1533-position model. The record is from RNAcentral.